GUUCCACAUAAAAAAAUUUAAUUAAUUAGUUAAUAUAAUUAAUUAAUAAAAUUUGCGAACAUUCUUCAGUUCGAGGAUAGAUAUUUUAAUGUUUAAGAUUAUAUAUUUUAGUUUGGCAAGAAAAGGUUUAGCCGUUUGCGAUUACAUGCUACUGAGGUUGUGCGAUUAUUUUAUUAUAUGGGCGCUUAUUAUGUACACAGUAAGACCGGUCAGACAAGAAAUUUCGUUUCUAUGUUCAUUGGAAAGAUCUGGGAUACGUUUUGUUUUCCAAAAUGCAAAUUUGUUUUCCAAAAUAUUGUACAUUUUAAGAAUUUCUUUACUAUUUGGGUAAUUCCAUGUCAAUUCAUCCAGGGGGUAGAACCACCCCUCUUGGAUUUUAUUCAAAUUUGGAGGAAAUAACAAGCAACAUGAGACAUGCCAAAAUCCAAAAUUUCAUACUUGUAGCUUAAUUAGUUUCCGAGAAGUCGGACUUUGUAUUUUGAGAAAUUUGAUCAAAAAUGGGUGUGGCCCGAGCAAAAAUUCGCGGGUAGCGGUUCAGUAAAAUAGUAAUAAAAUCA
Paramuricea clavata is the source of this 557-nucleotide non-coding RNA. The record is from the annotation of a GenBank genome assembly. Lineage: Eukaryota; Metazoa; Cnidaria; Anthozoa; Malacalcyonacea; Plexauridae.